AAUCUUGUUCUCCAGAUGGAAUAAAGGUGGAAUAUUUUGAGUGCCACCAUCCGUCAGUGUAGGGCAGGGAGGAAUCCUCUCUGUGACAUCUCUUCCAUGUGUUAGUACAACUCUGGACAUUUUUGUGCUGACAUGCUCAGUAUCUCAUUUCAGUAACUGAGAUGAAAUUCAAGUAGAGGGGAAGGAGCAGCCAUGUGUGUGUCUAUGGGCCAGCAGGGAAGUCUAAAAAGGAUGGUAAAACUCUCCAGUCUAUCUGGUGUUGCUGAGCAUUCUUUGAACUUAGUAGUAACUCCACACAGCAUUUAUGGACAGACAAAAAUGCUCCCGAACCAACUCUGUGCCUUAGGAGGCAGGAGAUUCAUUGCAUGCAAAAUGGUUCCAAUGACUGAGACAGAGAAGGGAGAUGAGUUUUGUCAGAGAGAAGAUUUGAGGAAGAAAGAAAUUUGUGCAUGGAAUCUUAGCAAUGAAGUAGUUUUCCUCACUAAACAGCCAGUGGCACUUCAGGAUAAGAUUUCUACCUAGGAGAGGAAUGGGCAUUCUCAGCCUUCAAGAGCAGGAACCAGGCCUGUAUUUGGACCAGGGCAGAUGCAAGUUGGU
Molecule: long non-coding RNA, 597 nt
Organism: Passer domesticus (house sparrow)
Lineage: Eukaryota; Metazoa; Chordata; Aves; Passeriformes; Passeridae
Exons: 3
Source: RefSeq, a predicted model, not a curated record